UGGGGAAUAUUGGACAAUGGGCGAAAGCCUGAUCCAGCCAUGCCGCGUGUGUGAAGAAGGUCUUCGGAUUGUAAAGCACUUUAAGUUGGGAGGAAGGGCAGUUACCUAAUACGUGAUUGUUUUGACGUUACCGACAGAAUAAGCACCGGCUAACUCUGUGCCAGCAGCCGCGGUAAUACAGAGGGUGCAAGCGUUAAUCGGAAUUACUGGGCGUAAAGCGCGCGUAGGUGGUUAGUUAAGUUGGAUGUGAAAUCCCCGGGCUCAACCUGGGAACUGCAUUCAAAACUGACUGACUAGAGUAUGGUAGAGGGUGGUGGAAUUUCCUGUGUAGCGGUGAAAUGCGUAGAUAUAGGAAGGAACACCAAUGGCGAAGGCGACCACCUGGACUGAUACUGACACUGAGGUGCGAAAGCGUGGGGAGCAAACAGGAUUAGAUACCCCCGUAGUCCCUGAGCGGGCUGGCAAGGCGCAU
RNAcentral lists this ribosomal RNA (472 nucleotides) under uncultured bacterium. Its description in RNAcentral is "bacterial SSU rRNA". It matches the Rfam family "Bacterial small subunit ribosomal RNA", at positions 355 to 825 of the family's 1533-position model. The record is from RNAcentral.